Non-coding RNA from Pelobates cultripes (western spadefoot toad), 321 nucleotides. The record is from the annotation of a GenBank genome assembly. NCBI's taxonomy places the organism in Eukaryota, Metazoa, Chordata, Amphibia, Anura, Pelobatidae.
GGGUGUUUUAUGGUAGAAUCUAUCCAUUUGUGAUGGGGUGUUCUAUGGCGGCCAUUUGGAAGUUUCCUGGAUCCAUGGUGCGUACAUUGAGUCAUUAUAGACUACAUAACGAGCUAAAUCCUUUCAAAGUCAAUGUCUCAUAUAUUGUUUAGUUAACUGAAACCCCAGAGCCUUUGUACAUUUUCAGCAGGUAUGCCAUCUGCUCUGGGAUAAGAAUCCCUUAGAUUCAGUUCUGUUUAUAUUUAAUAUGUUUAAUAUAUGUUUUCUUUGAAGCACAUUUUUUUCCUUUUCCUCAUUUGUAUUAUAUAUUAUUUAUAAAUG